Molecule: ribosomal RNA, 159 nt
Filed under: Spirochaetae bacterium HGW-Spirochaetae-10
Lineage: Bacteria; Pseudomonadati; Spirochaetota
Description: partial 23S ribosomal RNA
Rfam family: Bacterial large subunit ribosomal RNA (bases 62-159)
Source: RNAcentral
GGUUCCCGCAGCACGGCCGAAAAUCGUGCGCAGAGUGUAAAAGCACAUAGGAGCCUGACUGUGAGGGGAACAUUUCGAGCACGAACCUCCGGUGCACCGGUUGUCGCGCCAGCGGCAUAGCCGGGUAGCCAUGUUCGGUGUGGAUAACCGCUGAAAGCA